UUUCCCGCGUGAAAUUAGCUCAUUUCCCUCCAAAAAGUUAAAUGUGUAUAUAUUUAGCUGACUGAUCUUCAGUCUGGUCUCUUCUCUGAGGACACAAACAUGGUGAACAGUGGGACUUGUCUUCAGCUUCAGGUGGAACAUCUCUGGUCUGUAUGGUGAUCAGCACUGGAGAGGAGAGACACCUGGUCCAACAAGGUGACGGACGAGCAGCUAAGACGAUUAAGACGAGCCACCACAGGACCUGAAGCAGGAAAACUGAGUAUCCGUCUUCUGAUAAAACCCCUUCAGGUCCUGCAGUUGUUCGUUGACUCUGGUUUCACCUGCUCAGACAGUGAGCACUGUUGUCUUUACUGGUUAUGUACAUAAUAAAAUCUUGUUUUAAUUACU
Molecule: long non-coding RNA, 387 nt
Organism: Acanthopagrus latus (yellowfin seabream)
Lineage: Eukaryota; Metazoa; Chordata; Actinopteri; Spariformes; Sparidae
Exons: 3
Source: RefSeq, a predicted model, not a curated record